Camellia sinensis is the source of this 3765-nucleotide non-coding RNA. The record is from RefSeq and is a predicted model, not a curated record. Lineage: Eukaryota; Viridiplantae; Streptophyta; Magnoliopsida; Ericales; Theaceae.
ACCUUAUCUUAUCUUUUCUUUUAUUUUGUCUAUAAAAGGGAUAUCCUCACCCUUGUUGAGACAGAGCUGUUUUUAGAGUUUUCUUUCAAGAAUUUGUUUUCUUUUCAAGUAUAAUAUCUAAGUGCUCUCUCUCUCUCUCUCUCUUCCUUGUAAAAUUUCCCAGUUUAUGAUAUAUAAAUUAAGUGUUGAAGAAUUAUGUUGUUUUGAAGAUUCUGGUUCGCCGUAGUGUCAUGGAUGAAGACAUGGCGAGCCUCUGCCGAGCAUGUCUCCUCGAGCAUGAGAAAUCGAGGACUGCUUGUUUCACCACAACGAAGCCAAAGCCAGUGAAGAUGACUAGUGUUUCGGAGAAGGAGAAACAGCCGAUCUCGGCUGAGGGCAAGCUCGCGAGCUUUUUAAACUCUUUGUUCAGGAAUGGAAAUUCGAAGAAGAUGAAGAAGUCAAGCUCAUCAUCAAUUGGAGGUUACGGGGAUGCACGUGUGGAGAGAAAAGCAAAGCCACUCAAGCAUAUCUACGUGUUCAUGGGCAUCUUUAUAUUUCUGUAUAAAACCUCAAUGAAUUUGAAAUGUAAACUGUUUUUCUUUUCAUAUUUCUCUCUGUUUUUAUUUUUUAUUUUUUUUUAUUAUUAUUUUUAAACAUGGAUUUUGUAAGUUUGAACUUGGAAUCUAAAGCCAUCAUAUUUAAUCUCAUAUGGUGCGAGUACAUUGGAAUUUUUGUUGUUGUUGUUGCUAAAAUACCAAUAUUUAACUUUUUCCUUAGGGAGGAUUGAUGUUAAAGAGGGGGGAGGACUUGAAAAUGGAGUUGAGGAAUGUCUCUUUUUACAUGGAAGUCAGUCCUGCUUACUUUCACAAGAAAUUGGAUUCAGUCAUUCCCCAAAUGUAAUAGUCAUGCAUGGGGAAUGCAUUACUAAUUUCUUUAAUUGUACUGCGUUUUAGUGCUCUACACUUUGGAGACUUGACUAGCACAUAAUGCACACAUGAAGCGAUAUAGCUUCUAACACUUGAUUAGCGUAUUUCCAAUUGACUAGUACAUUUGUGCAUGUGAUUGAAUCCCAUUUUUUGGAAAAGUAGCGUGAUUGAAUAGCAGUUUUAAAAAAACACAUUAUUGAAUUCCAUUUUCAAGCCUUCCUCUUUCCUAAAUAUUUAUAUUCUUUUCCCAUUUGAGUUAUUUUGUUGAAAAGGUUCUAUACAAUUGAAUGACAGUUGGAAACUCUCUUUAUUUCCUUUUCCAUGUGUAAGGGGCGACUCUCGAAAGAGGAAGGUUGGGUGGCUAUUCUUUUUUCAUUCAUAUAAAAUUUUACCGAACUAUGCUUCUUUAGUUGAAUUUGAAAUCUGAAUGCAUUUUUUGGAUGAACAUAGUAGUUAUUUUGGUUUUAUGUGGUAAAGCAAGUUGAAAAAAAUUUGUCCCCAAUAGCACAAUGUGGCAAAGUAGCCUGAAUUUUUUUUAUAAUAAUAAUGAGCAAAAUUAAAUUAUAUAAAAAAAAAACAAUCACUGAGAUGUGGUUUUAUAUAAAUAAAUAAACAAUCACUAAGAUGUGAAUUCCACCUUGCCAGAAACUAUUCAGAAAAUUAAGGUUUAUACUCAAGCCUGGUGGGAUGCUAUUCCCAAAACAAUUCCUAGUCAACCAAUCAUUCAAAAUCCUUUUUUUACAUAUUCAAACAAAAUUACGCCAAAAAUACUCGAAUUUGUCAGAAACAAAAUUAGUUAUGGAUUUCAUGAAGCAACAAUUUCUCCAGACUAUUUCCAAUGAUGACACCUCCAUGAAAUCCGUUACUGGCAGUCUAGACCAGGAAGAUCUAGACUAUGAUAAAAAUGAAUUUGUUGCUCUAGCCGGCGAAUCACAGGAUCCAGCAGAAGAUGAACCCAACUUUGGUGAUUUUUGGGAUUCACUCACCAGCAUGAUUGCUGAAAAGAUUGAUAAGGAAAAAGAUAAAAAAGAAAAAGGCAAAGCAUGAGUCUUUAUCUCGUCUGCCACCAGAAUAAUUCAUCUGGAGCGUCGGUACAAAACGACAACUAACAGUACACCUACUUUUUGUAAAAGCAGUUUCUUGUCUGCCAUCCAGCACAAAGACCAAUAAUUGUCUCACUCUAGUCCAAAGAAGAUAAGGAUGUUGAGUCAAAAGAAAAUUUCCAUUCAACUUUGAGGAUAUGGAUGAUUGACUCCAACGACCAAGGACAUGCCACUAGUCCUCACCUUAUCUUAUCUUUUCUUUUAUUUUGUCUAUAAAAGGGAUAACCUCACCCUUGUUGAGGCAGAGUUGUUUUUAGAGUUUUCUUUCAAGAAUUUGUUUUCUUUUCAAGUAUAAUAUCCAAUUGCUCUCUCUCUCUCUCUCUCUCUCUCUCUUGUAAAAUUUCCCAGUUUAUGAUAUAUAAAUUAAGUGUUGAAGAAUUAUGUUGUUUUGAAGAUUCUGGUUGUAAGUAUUUUCUUCUUUAGUAUGUAUGCCUAUAAAUUUACUUGUUGAUUUGAUUAAUGUUUUAGAAUUUUAUCUUGAUAGUAGAAAUAUAUAUUUACAACAGCUUCAAGCUAACGAUCCGUAUUUAUAGCCGUAUCUUUCUAACUAGUUAGAAUUUUUUAAUCAACGAAUAACCAAGAUCCAACAGCAGAUCCAGGAGCAAAUUUGCUUCUGGGCGAUUGCCGGCCGAUCUCUACCUCAACAGUAAAACCAUGAGACCAUAUAUGUAGGAAUUUAAAUCUAAUAUAAUAAUAAUAUAAAUGAUAAUAGUCUUGGGUUUGUGUUAAAUAAGGGUAGAACAGAGUAAGGUUGAGUGAGACGUCAUCCAAGUCGCGUAUAGGUUAGAAGAUCAUAGUUGCAGUGAUUGUGUAUAGGUUGGAAAGAUAUGGAAUAUUUUUUUUAUCUUUCCUUUUGAAAAUUAUAAAUUAUGGAAUUAUUAAUAUUUUGAAAACUAUUACUUUAAUGGAUUAGCCAAAUUAAAUUUUAAAUUUUAAUUUAGUAAUAUAGUAAUAUACUAAUAAAUUUUAAAGGGAAUAAUAUAGUAGGAAAUAAAAUUUAAAAUAUAGUAAUAUAGUAGGGAAUAAUAUAGUAAUAUAGUAAUUUUGAAAAUGCCAAAUUGGCAUUGGCUCUUCAAUCUUUCCCUUUAUAAAAUUCCUUCUCUUUAUAAUAACCGGUGAUUUUGAAAGUGCCAAAUUGAAAUAAUAACCGGUGAUUUUGAAAAUGCCAAAUUGAAAUAAUAACCCCUGCCUUUUUCUUUUCUAUUAUUUUUUUUGAACAACAACUCCUUUAAAUAUUUGGAAGGUUCCUUAUUUUUAUCAUGAAUUUUAAAAAUUUGAAAGUAAUUAUAUAUGGUAUGAAUAAUAUAGUAAUAUAGUAGAAACAAAUUUUAAUUUUUUUAAAGGAAAUAAAAAUCAAUGGGAGAUGAUUAGGUUGGAAAGAUAUGGAAUAUUUUCUUUAUCUUUCCUUUUGAAAACUAUAACUUAUGAAAUUAUUAAUAUUUUGAAAACUAUUACUUUAAUGGAUUAGCCAAAUUAAAUUUUAAAUUUUGAUUUAGUAAUAUAGUAAUAUAUUAAUAAAUUUAAAAGGGAAUAAUAUAGUAAUGUAGUAGGAAAUAAAUUUUAAAAUAUAGUAAUAUAGUAGGGAAUAAUAUUGUAAUAUAGUAGUAACAUAGUAAUUUUGAAAAUGCCAAACUGGUGUUAACUCUUCAAUCCUUCCCUUUUUAAAAUUCCUUCCCUUAAUAACAGCCGAUGAUUUUGAAAAUGCCAAAUUGAAAUAAUGACCCUUACCUUUUUUUUUUUUUUUUUUUUUUUUUUUU